RNAcentral lists this ribosomal RNA (406 nucleotides) under uncultured bacterium. RNAcentral's name for it is "partial 16S ribosomal RNA". It matches the Rfam family "Bacterial small subunit ribosomal RNA", at positions 29 to 526 of the family's 1533-position model. The record is from RNAcentral.
AUUGAACGCUGGCGGCAGGCCUAACACAUGCAAGUCGAACGAGUGGCGGACGGGUGAGUAAUGUCUGGGAAACUGCCCGAUGGAGGGGGAUAACUACUGGAAACGGUAGCUAAUACCGCAUACCAUCGGAUGUGCCCAGAUGGGAUUAGCUAGUAGGGGGGGUAACGGCUCACCUAGGCGACGAUCCCUAGCUGGUCUGAGAGGAUGACCAGCAACACCGGAACCGAGACGCGGGCCAGACGCCUACGGCAGGCAGCAGUGGGGAAGAUGGGAAAAUGGGCGCAAGCGUGAUGCAGCCAUUCCGCGUAUAUGACGAAGGCCUUCGGGUUGUAAAGUACUUUCAGCGAGGAGGCGUUACUCGCAGAAGAAGCACCGGCUAACUCCGUGCCAGCAGCCGCGGUAAUAC